GAACUUUUUUAUUAUUAAUUUUAUUUUUUUUAUUUUAUGAGAGAAUUAUAUUUAUUUUAUUAAUAUUUUUUGAAAUAAUAUUUAUUUAUUAUAGUUUAUAGUACUGUGAAGGAAUUAAUUUUAGUAUAAAAAAGAAGAAUUUGUUUUUUGUACCUUGUGUGUCAGGGUUAAUUAAUUUAAAAUUAAAUUUUUAGUUUUCCCGAAUUUAGAAGAGCUAUAAAUUUAUAAAUUUUAUUGUUAAAUAAAUAUUUAUAAUUUUUUUAUUGAAAUGAAAUGUUAUUCGUUUCUAAUAUAUCUGGUUUCUUAGGAAAUAAAUUCAAUUUUAUUAAAUUAUAAUAAAUUUCUGUUUUUUAGUUUUUAUUUUUUUUAUUUUAUAAUUAAGGGGAUAAGCUUUUGAUUAUAUGUUAAAAAUAAUUUUAUAUUAAUUUUUUGUAGGAUUAGAAUCUUUCAUCAUUAAAAGUAUGUUAUAAUUUAUUUUUUUAUGUUUAUAUUUUUAUUUUUUUUAAUUUUUUACUAAGAUUUAAUUUUUAAUUUAAAAUUUUUAGUAAUAAUGAUUGAAUUAGUAUAUUUGAUUGUUUAAUUAAGAAUUUUUUUAGGUUAAUUUAAGGAAUUCGGCAAAAUUAAAUUUUCACCUGUUUAUUAAAAACAUGUCUUUUUGAUUUUUUUUUAAAGUCUGACCUGCCCAAUGAUUAUAAAUUAAAUGGCCGCAGUAUUUUGACUGUGCAAAGGUAGCAUAAUCAUUAGUUUUUUAAUUGAAAGCUGGAAUGAAUGGUUUGAUGAGAAAUUAGCUGUCUCAAUUUAAUUUUAUAUAAUUUUAUUUUUGAGUUAGAAAGCUCAAAUUUUUGAUAAAGACGAGAAGACCCUUUAGAGUUUAACUUACAAUACUAUUUUUAAUUAUGUUUUAUUUUUAUAUUUUUGUGAGUUUUGUUGGGGUGAUAAAUAAAUUUAAUAAACUUUAUUUUAUUUUUACAUUAAUUUAUGAUUGUUUGAUCCUUUGUUUUGGAUUAUAAGAAUAAAUUACCUAAGGGAUAACAGCGUAAUUUUUUCUGAAAGUUCUAAUUGAAGAAAAAGUUUGCGACCUCGAUGUUGGAUUAAAAUUUAUUUUUGGUGCAGUAGCUGAAUAAUUGGGUCUGUUCGACCUUUAAAAUUUUACAUGAUCUGAGUUUAAACCGGUGUGAGCCAGGUUGGUUUCUAUCUUGUUUGAAUUUUAAUAUUUUAGUACGAAAGGACCAUUUAUUAAAAUAAUAUUUUGUUUUUGAAUCUUAU
Molecule: ribosomal RNA, 1266 nt
Filed under: Coleoptera sp. ACP-2013
Lineage: Eukaryota; Metazoa; Arthropoda; Insecta; Coleoptera
Description: 16S ribosomal RNA
Rfam family: Archaeal large subunit ribosomal RNA (bases 1028-1186)
Source: RNAcentral